AGCGAACGCCGGCGGCAGGCCUAACACAUGCCAGUCGAACGAACUCUUCGGAGUUAGUGGCGGACGGGUGAGUAACACGUGGGAACGUGCCUUUUGGUUCGGAAUAACUCAGGGAAACUUGUGCUAAUACCGAAUGUGCCCUUCGGGGGAAAGAUUUAUCGCCAUUAGAGCGGCCCGCGUCUGAUUAGCUAGUUGGUGAGGUAACGGCUCACCAAGGCGACGAUCAGUAGCUGGUCUGAGAGGAUGACCAGCCACACUGGGACUGAGACACGGCCCAGACUCCUACGGGAGGCAGCAGUGGGGAAUCUUGCGCAAUGGGCGAAAGCCUGACGCAGCCAUGCCGCGUGAAUGAUGAAGGUCUUAGGAUUGUAAAAUUCUUUCACCGGGGACGAUAAUGACGGUACCCGGAGAAGAAGCCCCGGCUAACUUCGUG
RNAcentral lists this ribosomal RNA (433 nucleotides) under uncultured bacterium. RNAcentral describes it as "partial 16S ribosomal RNA". It matches the Rfam family "Bacterial small subunit ribosomal RNA", at positions 29 to 507 of the family's 1533-position model. The record is from RNAcentral.